RNAcentral lists this small RNA (295 nucleotides) under Exophiala sideris. RNAcentral describes it as "Exophiala sp. SST-2011 5' ureB small RNA". It matches the Rfam family "5' ureB small RNA". Lineage: Eukaryota; Fungi; Ascomycota; Eurotiomycetes; Chaetothyriales; Herpotrichiellaceae. The record is from Rfam by way of RNAcentral.
CUUCGUACGCUUGUUGAGGACAAAUCAAGUGGAUGUGUGAAUCGAAGCCGCCCGCUGUGACGAUCAUGCCUUCGCUAGCAAUGACAUCCGUGCCGUUCCCUACAAUCAUGUUGGGGUGUACGCCGUCCAUGACAUCGGGAUUACCUGCCUUGCCGAUGCCGGAGAUGAUGCCCUCCUUAAUGCCAAUGUCCGCUUUAUAGAUACCCGUCCAGUCGACAAUGAGCGCGUUGACAAUGACAGUGUCGAGUACCUCCUCGUCUUUGCGACCGCUCGCUUGUCCCAUGCCUUCACGGAG